RNAcentral lists this ribosomal RNA (185 nucleotides) under Pseudomonas sp. RNAcentral's name for it is "partial 16S ribosomal RNA". It matches the Rfam family "Bacterial small subunit ribosomal RNA", at positions 1 to 185 of the family's 1533-position model. The record is from RNAcentral. Lineage: Bacteria; Pseudomonadati; Pseudomonadota; Gammaproteobacteria; Pseudomonadales; Pseudomonadaceae.
GAACUGAAGAGUUUGAUCAUGGCUCAGAUUGAACGCUGGCGGCAGGCCUAACACAUGCAAGUCGAGCGGAUGACGGGAGCUUGCUCCUUGAUUCAGCGGCGGACGGGUGAGUAAUGCCUAGGAAUCUGCCUGGUAGUGGGGGACAACGUUUCGAAAGGAACGCUAAUACCGCAUACGUCCUACGG